Molecule: long non-coding RNA, 17886 nt
Filed under: Triticum aestivum (bread wheat)
Lineage: Eukaryota; Viridiplantae; Streptophyta; Magnoliopsida; Poales; Poaceae
Description: long non-coding RNA (TAES_LNC024215)
Source: RNAcentral
UCCUCACGAGGCAACAGGUGCUGGCUGAUUGCGCCCUCUCCUCCGGUGCCUAACCGGCGCCUGUUUACAGCGCCACCUCCUUCUCCAGUGGGUGACGACGGCCAUCUCCAAGUUGAAACUAGUUCGGAAGAUGAAAGCAGUGAUGGAAGUUUGGAAUGGGACGAAGUAGACGACACAGCAUUGUAUCUGCUCGCUAGUGUUUCUGAGAUGGUCGCUAACGAUAGUGAUGGUGAUACAAGAAAUAAUGCUCUUCUUCCUGCGAGGAGAACUAGGAAGGACGUCAUCAUCCAUGGUGAAGGGACUUCACAAGAAGGUGGAGCUAGAAACUGCACAGGAGGUACACUCUAGAAUAUAGUGCUUAAAUAUUCGUAAUUACGCAAAUGAUCACAGUUACAUAUAUACUCCUCCUUUGUUCUUCACUACUAGGAGCUUCCCGGGGAGCCCGAUAAUUAAGCUGGAAACACCAAAGGAAAGAGAAAGGGGCAUACAGAUGUGUGUGUUAAAAUUCACUAUCAAUUUAUUAAAGGUUAUGAAGAAAAAUAUAUAUUGAUCCUUGGAUUGUCACAUAUUUUACGCAUACAAUCUCCCGGGGGAGUUUAUUACUUCAUGCAUCUUCUUAAGUGGGAUUAUAAAACGAAGUUUUAUUCUAAAAAAGAAAAACUUCCGGCGACCAUUGCGCUUGCGCACCUCCACCCCAGACGGGGUCCGUCCGCGGAUCCAUUGCCACACGAAGAUCCUGAUUUUUAAUGGCAGGUGGAUGGACCACACCGCCGUAAGGGGGGAGGGGCGGUGGAGGGGGCAAUGGCCUGGUAAAGAGACUUGGUGGAGAAUUGACCUGACGGCUCAAGACGCCACCUAACCUGAUACGGACCAGCAUCCACAACCAGCUCAUGGAGAGCGACGCAAUCAAGCAAAUCACGCCAGGCGGCAGAGUCCGGAGGCCCAAAUGGCCUCCAGAAUGCGAGGCGCCCUAAGUCAAUAAGGGCCCUCUCUACUGAGAUCGAAGGGUCGACAGCGAUGGAGAAGAGGUUAGGGAAGCGCGCAGCGAAGGGGGUGUCGCCCGCCCACCGGUCAAACCAGAACAAAGUCGCAGCCCCAGAUCCAACCGAGAUGGAGGUCCCAAUGCGGAGGACUGGGAGAAGUUGGACGACCGACUGCUAGAACUGGGAACCUCCAAAUCUCUGACAGAAGGCUAGGGGUUGCCCACGUAGGUACUUGUUACGGAUGAUGUCUAACCAGAAGCCACCGUGACCUUGCGAAAUGCGCCAGAGCCAGCGGGAUAAGAGGGCAAUAUUCAUGCGCUUAGAGCACAUGAUACCGAGGCCUCCUUGUUCCCGAGGCUUGCAAAUGUCAGGCCAGCUAACCAUAUGGUAUUUGUGCUUAUUGUUAUCGCAUGCCCAAUAGAAACGAGACUGGACUUUGGUGAUCUCAUGGUGCAGAAUAUCGUGCAGGCUGUAGAAGCUCAUAAGGAACAAGAGGAGGCUGGAGAGGGAGGAGUUGGUGAAUCGUCCGAGCCGCCUUCGACAGCCACCUACCCUGCCAUGGCUCUAUGCGCAUUUGCAACUUGGCCACGGUCGGACGCAAGUCAGCAACGGUAAGCCUAGAGUCACUAAUGGGCGUUCCCAAGUAUGUCGUGGGGAAGGAGCCCAGGCGGCAGUGAGCCGGUUGGCAAUGUCCAGGCACUCCGCCGGAGAGUAGCCCAUCACCAUCACAUCACUCUUGUCGAAGUUGAUCUUGAGGCCAGACAUUUGUUGGGAGUAGAGGAGAAGGAACUUAAGAUUAGAGAUGUCCGCCUCCGAGCCUUCAACCAUGAUGAUGGUGUCAUCAGCGUAUUGGAGAAGGGAGAUCCCGGAGCCACCGACUAGGUGGGGGGUGAUCCCACGAAUAUGGCCCGCAGCCUUAGCUUUGUCCAGGAUGGCGGCCAGCGUGUCCACCACCAUAUUGAACAAGAAUGGGGAGAAGGGGCCGCCUUGUCUAUCCCCACAAAGGGUGGUGAAGUAAGGACCGAUCUCCCCAUUGAUGUUCACGGCAAUGCGGCCGCAAGAAACCAUAUGCAUCACUCUGGUGAUCCACUGGUCGUCGAAGCCCUUCCGGAGCAGAACUUCCCAAAGGAAGGGCCAACUAACAAUGUCGUAAGCCUUAUGGAAAUCGAUCUUCAGGAAAACCGCCCUGAAGUGUUUAGAUCGGACCUCAUGGAGGACUUCAUGAAGCACUAGCACCCCAUCUACGAUAUACCGCCCUUGAAUGAAGGCGGAUUGGUUGGGGUGGGUAAUGUAGUCGGCAAGCAGGGUCACCUUAUUGGCGUACCCUUUUGCCAGAAUCCGGAAGAUCACAUUGAUAACCGUGAUCGAAACUGGCGAAUGUCGGAGGCCCCGGACACCUUGGGGAUGAGCGAAAUGAUCCCGUAGUUGAGGCGCCCGAGGUCGAUGGACCCAACGUAGAACUCGUCGAAGAUGACCAUGAUCUCAGGCUUAAUCACAUUCCAAAAGGUCUGGAAGAAUUUAACCGGGAGGCCAUCCGGGCCUGGGGCCGAGGUAGGGUUCAUGCCUCUAAUGGCCGCCCAGACCUCGCCCUCGGAGAAGGGGGCCGUAAGGGCCGCGUUCUCCGCAUCGGAAACUAGCUGGAGGCCGGUCCAACAAUCAGGAGCCAGAGAAAAGGCCGCUCCUAGGAGCGGCGAAGAACAGGGACCUGUAGAACCCGUCGACAUGGGCUCGAAUGUCACUGAGAGACUGCAGGAGGGUCGCGCCAUCCCAGAGAAGGGGGGUGGUGUUGCGUCUACGGCGGCCAUUGGCAAUGGCCUGAAAGUAUAAGAAUCCUGCAUAUCCAUCAAACUUAAAAGUAAUCAAAUGGGAUCUUGCAGAGAGAACAUCGGCGCUUCUGUCCUCGCCUAAUUAGUUCAUCGUUGGAGGUUCCAUGUUAGUGGCAGAGUAGUGCUCGCCUGGUCGAUCUAGUGGGAGUUCUACAUUGUUUAUUUAAAGAUGCAUAAAUGACUGAAACUCAAGGAAAUUAGGUAACUUGUGUAUGCUGGGAAAAGCAGCCCUCACACACAUGAGUGAUGCUCAAUAAAACCCAUUUUCAGGCAAAAUAACUCACUUCACUGAGCAUUUUUUUAAACAUGAUUUAGCAUGUGCAUACUUUUUUGGAGUUAACGGGCAGCUCGUACAAACUAGAGUUUUGUUUAUUUUAUAUUAUGAGAAGUACAUUUGUUGUUUGUGGUUGUUAAUUAAUAACAAAAUGAUAGAUCGAUAUUAAUAAGGAGAUAUAAUAUAUAUACAUGAUUCUGAGUAUUACGUUCGCACAUACUUUUUCUGUGAAAACCUCUGCACAUACUUUUUAUCAAGUAAUCUGCACCAAGUAGAAACAUAUAUCUCGUUGCAGUGUCGUGUACACAAUAUUGUAUGUCACAUUUUUUUGUUGGUCCCUAAGUAAAAUUAUCAUCAUUAUUGUUCCCUAGAAACUUUGCAUUAAUGUUUUGUGCCAAUUAAAUUCUUAAAAUGAUUUUUCUGGACAUAUUAUGCUAAUUUAUUUGAUGGUUUCUAUAUUAUCACAUGUUCCGUAGUGGGAUUAUUUUCUGUUUUGAGUGUGGGAUUAUGUUCUCUUGGUAUCAUAAAAGCCUUGCCUGAUUGAACCGGGCGUGCCCCUUUCCAUUAAAAUAAACGGAAAUACAACAGUCUCCGAUACAGCCAGGAAGCAAGGAAAGAGGAGCAGCGAGUUCAACGCACUGCCAGGAAACCCACUGUACUCGCCCGCCAUCGAAACGAGCACCAUGGGACGAAAACCUGACAGCACCUACUUAGUUUGAGUCUAGCUAUUACAAACCAGGGGGAAAGGCACAAACACGAGGUGCCAGAAGAACAUAAAGCAUGUAGACUUUCAAAAGUUACCCAAACGUGGAGCCUGAGACUUAGACCCUAGCACAACGCCCCCUAUCACAACCAGGGCAGAAUGUAGAGCACAUCAGCAGCAUCAUCCAGAGAACACCUCACCCUCGUCUCCCGUCGCGCGCCUGGCCCCUUCACACAUGGCCAUCAACUUGGUUGUGCUCGCUCUAAUCAUCUCAGCUCCGAGUCGCAAUCUUGCCACUUCUUCCACCGGCUGAAGACCUGCCCAAUACAAGAGAAACGAACAAGCCGAAUACACAAUCUCAAAAGGAGAUUUGAUCAAUUGUUUUUCAAAAGUAGCCUUAUUACACGCAAGCCAAAUAGCCCAAGUUACUGCCGCCAAACCAACAGUAUAAAAUCUAGAUUCAUUGGGUAGGAACAUAUUACACCACACAUAGAAUUGCCAGGUGUUAUUCGGGCAUAAUUCAGUCCCCAACACAACUCCAACUGUCCUCCAGACAACACGCGCCACAGGACACGUAAAGAACAGGUGGGACGCAGUUUCAAUAUUGUUACAGAAGGAACACACAGGGUUCCCCGGCCAUUUUUUCCUCCUCAUCACCGCUCUAGUGAGCACCGCAUCUUGAGCCAUCUGCCACAAGAAAAUCUGUAUCUUAAGAGGUAGUUUCGCCUCCCAGAUCCAUCUAUAGUUGCUUCCGUGAAGAGGUUUUUCCAGCCAAUUAUACAUAGAUUUAGUGGAGUACUUAGCAUUCUUACUCAAACCCCAAAACACUACAUCUUCCUCGGAUGUAGUCUUAAGCCCCAAGAUGUACUGUCGUACCCUAUCCCACUGUUCUUUAAGAUUAGGGCAUAGACGCCUUCUAAAAAAGGUCGAAGUCUCUACCCUGUUAAAGUUUUGGACCGUACAAUCCUGAUCUGUACAGAUUUCAAACAGCCGAGGGAACCUCGAAUUGAGUGGGGGCAGCCCCUCAAUUGAGUCUUUCCACACCCUGCUCAGGUUGCCGCAUCCUAGUUUAAUCUUUCUCCCCAUCAUGUACAACUCCCUGACUUUCAGAAGAGAUUUCCAGCAUGGGGAGUCAGAUUGUCUAGGUUGCACAGUGUCACAUCCCUAGCUCCUGGCAUUGCACUAGGCUAGCUUCAUGUGUGCAGCAUGUUUAAAUUUGCCUAAACUUGAAAUGGGGAUGUUCAAACCCUAGCACCAAAUGAAAUCCAACUAGGAUCACAAAGAAAUAUUUUAAAUGAACCCAAAAUGCCCUUUGGAAAUGUUCAUCAUUUCUGAUAAAGGUAAAAACCUCUGCCAAAAGUGAUGAACAUAUUUCUAGGUCAUUUAUGGAUUUUUGAAUUAACUCGUGUUGUAUUUGAAUUGGGGCAUUUAAAUCCUAUAAAUAAUUUAAAUGCUCUAAUAAUUCUGAAACUAGUUGAGGGCUGUUGGGAAUAAUUUCAAUAGUGCCCACAAAUAUUUUCAGGAUUUUUGAAAAUGCUCUGGCAUUUUUAAUAAAGCAGAAAUAAUUGCAGAAAGUAGAAAACAGAAACAUUAGAAAGGAGAGGGAGCCACCUCCCCUGUCGUCUUCCUCCUUUGCCAGGAGGAUGGGCGCGUGGCCGACGCACGCACGCGCGCCCCGGCCACCUCCUGCUUCGCCGUGUCGACGCCUCCUUCCUCCCAACCCCGCGCCAGGAGACGUGGACGAGGCCGUGCUGACCCCCCUCCCCCUUCUCCCCUGGCCAUUUUCCCCUCUCCCUCCUCGUUCUUCGCCCGAACAGAGAGCCGUCGCUGCCGUUCACCGUACCCAAGGCCACCGACCACCCCUCGCCCUGCCUCUGAGCCUAGAAGCUCCGCCGCGUCUGCCUUGCCCUCUCCACCGAGCUACGCGACGCCGGAGGCCUUGCUUCAUCGCCACCGUCGUCGUCUUCACCGACGGGCACCGAAGAUCGCCGGCUCCGAUUCACCGUCUCCAGGCCGCCCCCGAGCCCACUGACCUGCUCUACGAGUCCACCGUGAGAUCCCCUUGCUUCUCCCCUCUCCCCUAACUCCCGCGCAAGCUCUAGCCCCACCGCCACCGUGCCCGUGAGCUUCACAUCGCCGGCGAUGUCGCCGCUAUCAUCCUAGCCACCAGAGCUUGCGUCUGAGCGCUUCGUCGUGCUCAGAGCAUCUCCAGGAACCCGUAUCACUCGCUGGUUCGCCUCCCAUGCACCGUAGCCUCGUCCCCGAGGUCGACCGAACUCCGGCGGCCGCAACCGAGCUCGCCGCCGUCGACUCCGGCCACCCCAGGCCCAGCCACGGCCACCACCCGAUGCGCCAUCGAGUUAGCUUUCCAACGCGCCUAGCCACGCGUCAUUUGGAGCACUACAGAGGAUGGCACAAGUACGCCGCGGACCUCGUCGGCGACUAACCGCCGGCGGGUUUGACUCUUUGACCAGGGGUUUGACCUCCCCUGCGUCACUAAUGUGUGGGCCCGGACCCUGCUAACUUCUGGUUAAGUUAAUAACUAAAUCUAGUUUAGCCACUGACUCACUGACAUACGGGCCCCGCUCGGCUAAUUAAACUAGAUUAGGUUUAAUCUAUAUUAGGAUUAGCUACAAUCAUUGACGUGUGGGUCCCAGCCGUCAGGUUUGACCUGGGCUGGCGCCUUUGACCUGCUGACGUCACCCCGACAUCAUGCUGACGUAGUUAACCUUUUUCUGGAUUUAUUCUUAUACAGGAAAUUCCAGAAAAUACUACAAACUCCAAAAAUUCAUAGAAAUUAAUCUGUAACUCCAAAUGAAACAAAUUAUAUAUGAAAAAUUAUCAGAAAAAUGCAAUCUAUCCAUCUGUAUCAUUUUCAUGCAUGUCAAACUAAGUUAUACCUGCUGUAUAGGUGAAAACAUGAUAAUGACAUUUUAAAUGCUAAAUGUGGAGUUUGCAUAUGAACCCUUAGUUCAUAUGGACUUCAUUUAAACUGUUGUUAGAUGCAUUAAUGUAAAUCAUAACAUUCUUGACAUGUCACGACCAUGCAUCAUAUUGUUGCAUUGCAUUGAUUGUGUUUCCUCUCUGUUGCCGGUAAUUGUCCCCUCUCGAUAGCCGUGAUUCCGACGAUGAGCUCGAUGACACCGAUGAGAACUAUAAUAUCUUCAGAAGUGCCAGGUAAGCAAACCCCCUUGUUCAUUCCGAUACAAUCCCACUCUCUCGCUCCUGCUCUCUUUUACUGCAUUAGGACAACAAUGAUUCAUCUGUUACUUGUUGCGGUAGUUGAACCCCUUAUCCUCUGCAUGACCUGUCAUUGCCACAGUAAAUAGAUGAAACCCACUAGCAUGAGUAGGAGUUGUUUGAGCCCUGAUGUGCCUACUCAUUCAUGCUUGUUUGUCAUGCCUGCUACUGCUUAGAGUUGAGUCGGGUCUGAUUCAUCGGGGAUGAGUUGGAAUGGUGAUGAACAUGUCCUACUGUCUGUGAGCUAAGUGUGUGAACAUGAUUUGGUAAAGGUAGCGGUGAGAGGCCAUGUAGGAGUACAUGGUGGGUUGUCUCAUUGCAGCCGUCCUCAGGAACUGAGUUCUGUGUUUGUGAUCCAUGAAACAGUUACUACCACGCAUUGGGCCCGAAACCAAUGGACCCUCUCGGCUUCUUAAUCACCCUUGUCCUCUGUCCAGGAGUUGCAAGUAGUUUCUGGUGUUUGUAGUAUGCUGGAGGCCGUGGACAGCGCUGACCGGAGGGGUGGGCUGUGAUGCGGUAGGCACGUGGCACGGUGUACCGGGCGCCUGUUUGGUGUCUCGGGAACCCUGCACACAUCGUUCGGGGCCGUAUGUGGAAACCUCGGCCGGACUCCCUGCGGAUGGAACCUGAAUAGGCGAUAAACCUGGACUAGAGACUUGAGUGUUUAGGUAGGCUGUGGCCGACACCCUCGCUGGGCUUCCGCUUGAAGGUUGCCGAGUACAUGCUGUGUAAACGGCGGUAAGUGGUGAGAGCGUGUGUGACGAAGUACACCCCUGCGGGGUUAACAUGAUCUAUUCGAAUAGCCGUGUCCGCGGUAAAGGACUUCUGGGUUGCCUAUAACAGUUCAUAGACAAGUGAAAGUGGAUACUCUAAAAUGCGCAAGAUAAGCGUGAGUGAUAUGGAUGGCGUUCUCGUAGGGAGACGGGAGCAGAUCCAUAGUGGAGUAUUGAUAUGGUGAAUAUGUGGACUCGUGUGCGCCACCUCAAAAGAGUUACUUGCAGUCGUAGUUAGGAUAGCCACCGAGUCAAAGCUGGCUUGCUGCAGUUAAACUCCACCACCCCCUUUGUUGAUACCGAUGCAUAUGUAGAUAGUUCUGAUGUAAGUCUUGCUGGGUACAUUUGUACUCAUGUUUGCUUAUUUUAUGUUUUGCAGAGAGACAUCAGUCUCGCUAGUAGUUUCGUGUGGACUUCGACGUUUAGCUUGAUACCUCAGCUACGAUCUUGUGCCCUCGGCAGGAUCUAGUAAAUAGUUAGGUUCUCAGCCUUUUUCAUUUGUAGAUGUCUGUACUCAGACAUGUUAAGCUUCCGCAUGUGUUUGACUUGUAUGCUCUGAAUGUUGGGUCAUAAGACCCAUGUUUGUAAUAUCUCGCUCCUCGGAACCUAAUGAAUAAAUACUUGAGUCGUAGAGUUAUGUUGUGAUGCCAUGUUGUAUUUACACAUAUCGAGCAUAUUGCGUGUAUGAUUGAAAUGCUUGGUAUGUGUUGGAUCCGACAACCUAGUUGUUUAUCCUUGGUAGCCUCUCUUAUGGGGAAAUGUAGUCUUGUGCUUCCAUGAGCCAUAGUAGUCUGCUACAGCCCGGUUCCCCGGAGUCCUGCUAGCCCAGCACUACUGCUCCGGAACACUUGACUGGCCGGCAUGUGUUUCACUUCGUUCCUGUGUCUGUCCCUUCGGGGAAAUGUCACGCGGUGACAUCCGGAGUCCUGCCUAGCCUGCUACAGCCCGGGUUCCCGGAGUCCUGUUAGCCCAGUGCUACAGCCCGGAUUCGCACGCUGCUGACCGACAUGCUCGAUGUUGAUUCAUGUAUGCCUGUCCCCGUAAGUUAGUGCCACUUUGGGUUCACGACUAGUCAUGUCGGCCCGGGUUCUCUGUCAUAUGGAUGCUAGCGACAUUAUCAUAUACGUGAGCCAAAAGGCGCAAACGGUCCCGGGCCAUGGUAAGGCGACACCCGUGGGAAUACCGUGCGUGAGGCCGCAAAGUGAUAUGAGGUGUUACAGGCUAGAUCGGUGUGACUUAGAAUCGGGGUCCUGACACACAGUUGCCACCGACUUGUUUUGUAAAUAUCUGGCUCUCACCAAGUUUUGCCAAACCCCAAUUUGGGUUUCUAAUUUCGACCACCAUUUUACCAUCAGGCUGAUGUUUUGUUUCCUGAGAUCUUUGACGCCCAGACCCCCUUUGCCCUUCAAUCUACACACCCUCUUCCAUUUGACCAGGUAAUAUCUAUUCUUCUUAUUGCACCCGUGCCAGAAAAAUUUACGACGGUGCUUGUCCAGCCUUUCUAUGAAAGUUUUACUCAUAAGCCACAUGGACAUAUGAUAUAAAGAUAGCAGCGACAGAACCGAGGUAAGCAAAGUAAGUCUGCCCCCGCUGGAUGCAGCAUUACCAAUCCAGGACCCGAAACACUUAAGGUAUUUAUCUACAAUAAAUUCCCACACUGAAUCUUUAAGGGUUGUGAAACUCACAGGCAUACCAAGAUAUUUAAUUGGAAAGUGCCCAAUCUCGCAGUUAAAGAUCUCGGCAUACUUGCUAUCAAUGUCAGUGUCCCCUCCGAUAGUCAUGAUCUCGCUCUUCUGGAAGUUUACUUUCAGUCCAGACAUGAGUUCGAACAUGUAUAAGAGGAGCUUUAGAUUUAAUGCUUUCUCCACAUCAUGCUCGAGGCAAAUGAUCGUGUCAUCUGCGUAUUGCAGAACUGCCACCCCAUUCGGGACAAGAUCAGAUGCUAGUCCAGUUAGGAGGCCAUUCUGCUGCGCUUUACAGAUCAUCUUGUUGAGGCAUUCUACAGCUAGGUUGAACAAAAAGGGGGAGUGGGGGUCUCCUUGGCGCACCCCUUUGGCACUCUGAAAAUAUGGGCCCACUGAGUUGUUAAGCUUGAUACUAACAGUACCAUUGUAUAGGAUUUGAUUCACCCACCCACACCAGGUUUCAUUGAAGCCCCUCAUUCUGUGGCAAUCCAAUAGAAACUCCCAGUUAACCUUGUCGUAUGCUUUCUCGAAGUCGAGCUUAAGCACCACCCCUACUUUUUUCUUGACAUGGGUGUAAUUGAGGAGCUCAUGUAAAGUCAUGAUCCCAUCCAUAAUAUUCCUCCCUUUUACAAAAGCAUUUUGUGACAAGCUUAUCAGUUUAUCAGCAUAUUUUUCUACUCUCCGAUCCAUAGUCUUAGUAAUCAGUUUAUAUGGGCACCUAAGGAGACAAAUAGGCGAAAUUGCUGAAUACGAUCCGCACCUGACACUUUAGGGAGAAGAGUAAUCACCCCAUAAUUAAGGCGCUGCACGUCAAGCAUUCCAGCAUGGAAGUGGCUGAACAGCCGCAUAAUGUCACUUUUGACAAUGUCCAAGCAAUGUUGAUAAAACUCCGCAGGAAUAUUACCAGGGCCAGGUGCUCUAUUGACAUCCAUUGCAAACAAGGCCUCUUUCACCUCCUCUUCUGAGAAGAUUCUAGUCAGAUCAAUAUUAUCCUUGUGAGUAAGUUUUUCUGAUUCAUCCCACGAGCCAGGGUCCAUGUGAAACAAGUUGCCCGGGGCUGGGCCGAAUAGGGUUUUAUAGAACUCUGUGGCAUGUGAGAUAAGGUUAUCAGUACCUUCUAUCUCAACAUCACCAUACUUGAGGGCAUGAAUGGUAUUCUUCCUUUUUCUCCCAUUUGCAAUUUUAUGAAAGUAAUCUGUGUUCAAAUCCCCUUUGAGCAGCCAACGCUCAUGAGAUUGUUGCAGCCAGAAAAUCUCCUCAUUCACCAGAAUCUCAUGAAGCUCAAAAUUAAUAUCCACCUUUCUACUAUACAUCUCAGGGGUCAGAGGUCCCUCCUCCUCAAGCUCCUCAAGAGUGGACAAUUCUACUCUUAAUUCUUCUUUUCUUUUCUUGGUAUGGCCGUACUUAUUGGACCCCCACCCUUUGAAGAAGGUUUUAAACCUUUUUAGUUUGAUAUUAAGAAUAUCAAUAGGAUCUUCAUCUUUAACCGCUUUAUUCCAGAUUUUCUCCACUAAGGGUAGAAAGUCCUCAUUUUUAAACCAGGCCAGAUCAAACCUGAACUCUCUAGGUUUAUGUGCCUCCCUACCGAUAUCUCCUGAGGAAAGGAGUAGGGGGUUAUGGUCAGAUAACUCUCUGACCAGCUUUCUAACAGUUACCAAAGGGUAUAAGUUUUCCCAGUCGCUAGACAUCAAAAUCCUGUCUAGCUUUUCCAAAGUGGGGUGGGUCUGGUUAUUUGUCCAAGUAUAUUUCCCUCCACUACAAUAAAUCUCCCUCAGGCCAUAUGCAUUAAUGACAGAAUUGAACAUGUCCAUAGAUUUAUGUCCAUGUAAUUUUUUAUUCUUCUCACCACCAUGCCUCAAGAUGUUAAAGUCUCCCCCAACUAUGUAGGGUUUGUUCAUAUUAGAACAGAAUUGAGCAAGUUCCAGCAGGAACUCCUCCCUCAUCUCCUCAUGAGCUGGGCCAUACACAACUAGAAUACUCCAUUCAGAUUUAUUCCUCCUAUCUAUUAGAUCAAGUUGGAUCAUGAACUUUCCUUUCUUGUUAGAACUCAAGUCUAAAAUGUCUUUUCUAGCCCCUGCAAUGAUACCACCUGAUUUGCCACAUGAGGGGAUCCAGACCCACUCAAAGAUACUAAAAGGGUCAAUUUUUCUCAAGCAUUUAGGGGAGAAGUUUUUCUUCAUGGUUUCCUGUAGACCCAGGAAAUCAAGGGAAUGAUCACUUAUUAAAUCAGAGAGGCACAUUCCUUUCUUGCCCACCCCUCUGCAGUUCCAAAUGAGACCUCUCAUUUGGAACGGUUUUUUGUUUUUUGGACCUGGUAACCCUGCCAGGGGCCAGGGCAGGAUUACCACUAUCAAUGUUUUCUACUGUCAUUUUCUUUUGGCUUCUAGUCACAGGCCUAGAUAGCUUGACAACAGACUUAUUUUUUUUUCUACUCCCAUUUUUAUAAGAACAGAAAUCUUCACUACAAUACUCAUCUUGUUCUAACCAAGAUAAGCUGAGAGGGGCUUGUUUUCCCAGUCCAUUUGUGACCACCACGUCAUCCUCUUUCUCAUGUUUUCUAUUAAUGCCAUCCUGUUUACUCAACAGAUUUCCUCUAACAUCCUCUAACUCAUGAAGAAUAUCAAUACAAGUAAAGUGAUCAUCUAGAAUUAGAACCCCCAUUUUAUUAGCUCUACUUAUUAGCUCAGCAUCCCCCAAAGCAGCAAAAGAAUUUUUUCUAGGGUUUUGAUAUUUACUUUCCAGAUUUUUCUUCUUGGCCACUUCCAUAGCUUUUUGCAUCAUGUCUCCCUGCCUCUCCUAACCACAUCGAAGACUAAACCUCAGGUUAGUCUCAGGGAUCAAUGGAGGUGUGGGAAUUAUCUCAUUGUCACAAUCAGGCGAUGGCAGGUGUACCAGAUAAUCAUCUGAUACCUUCAGCUUAGGAUCCACCUCUCCUGUCACUUCUGAGACCUGCGAAACACCAGUUACUACCUCCACAUAUGAGCAUUUCUUCUCAAUCAAAGGAAGUACAUUCACCUGCAGUGUUUGCACACCAGUGCUCUUGUCAGGUGUUUUUUCCUCAUGAUCAGCGAUUUUUCCUCCAUCUGAUUUCUCUUCAUAGCCCUCUUGAGCAGAAUUCUCAUUGGCCAGCUUCUCAAUAAAUAAAGUUUUAUCAUCAUCACUUUCAUAAGAGUCUGACAAGUUGUCCUCCUCAUUUUCCUUCUCUUUUUCAAGAGGGAGCAGGCGACAGGCCUUCCCUCCCCUGAAGGAAGAUGUACCAUGCUCAGCAGGAGCAUGAACACUCUUAGAUGGCUCAGUUCCCCCGUCCUGCCUCUUCCUCUUCGGAGUGGACAGCAGGGAUUCUUUCUGAUCAUUUCUAACAGGCACAGAAUCAUCUUCCUUCACCGGGUUUCUCACCAGAACUUCCUCUACUUCAUAUAGGAAUUUGUAAAAACGGCCCCCCAUGCAACCCUCUGCAGAAACAGGAAGAUUAUCAAUACUGCAACAUCCAAUCUUAACCCGAACAGACGAGGGGUGUUUGAUAGUAGACAUAUCUAUCUCUAACGUCACCCCAACAAGCCCACCAGCAUAAGCCACAUUCUUGUCACAUCUUUUAUUAAGAGGUAUCUUACUAAUUUUCACCCAGGCAAUCUCAAGUAGACCCUCACAAUCCAUGUCAUCAGACCAUGGUGUGAUUCUGACCACAGUUUGGUGCUUUUUGAGGUUUAUGUAUUCCACAAACAAAGCAUGUUCAACCUCUCUCACGUUAGGUAACCUCAUAACAUAUUUGUUAGGGGCCACGAGAUGUGCGGAACAUCUCCAGCCCUGCCCAAUGUACACCCCCAUAUCAUCCUGCAGAUCUUGUUUAGUUAUGGUCCCUUCUACAAUGGUAAUGAGCACAUUGGUGUUCUCUCUCUGCGGUUGUCUCUCUACACUAAAAUCAGGAAAGUAGCAGAAACCCUGCCCCUUGGAUUGAAAGCCACACAUAGCAGGAAUACAUUCCCAAGGAAGAAAUUCAGCGCAAAUAAUCGACAAGUGAUCUCUCUUCUUGCAUCGCUCACAGAGAGCCUGGGGGCAUCUAGCCGUGUAAUGACCAAAAGCAUUGCAGAUCUGACAUGCAUCAGGAGUAGGGUUAGGGUUACCGGCGGGGGUGCUUGGGUCUCGCCCCGCAGCAGGCGCAGGCGUUUUCCCUUGCAGCCGUCGAGUGUUCUGGUCCCCGCCGUCGCCGUCGACAGCAGAGGACCAGCGGUCCAGGCGCGGUGGCCCAGAUCCUCCCGCACCCGCCGCGACUUCCCACUUGUCGAAGCUCGUGUCGCCGGAGUCCGACACCCUGGUGGUCGAGGACUGCCCCACGUCCUCCUUGCGCUUCCACACGUUGUUGUCCCGUCCACGGCCACCGCCGCGGUCGAACCGUCCCGCCCCGCGGCCAUGCCUGCCAGCGCCAAAGCCAUCCCCCCUCAUCUCUCCGCUUCCGUGACCUUGCUUCGGAUCUGGAUCUUUGGGUGGAGGUGGGGUAGCGCCGAUCUGAGCAAAGGAUCUAGUGUCGCCUCGGAUCUUACCCUCCCACCAAGAGAAGGAGGGAGGAACCCUAAUAUCUCUCCUCUGCGGCGCCUCCCAGAGAUGGAGCAGGCACUCGUCGAGAUCUGAAAAAUCGGGGUGAGAGCGAGGCAGCGGCGUAUUAGUACCUGGGGCGUGGGCCGAAACCCUAGCUCUCGACGGAUCCGGGCGGUUGAUGUCCGCUGCUCCCACGUGUCGAGGAUCCGGGCCAUGGCGGUUGGGGCCACGCCCGAGCACCCCGGGUCUCCUGUCCAGUCGUGGUGGAGGUCGGGGGGGGGGGCGUGCACAACCACCUCAACCUUGUCCCCGUGUACCGCCCCCUUUUCCUCCAGAUCAGCGCGGUCCGUGCGCACCGUCGUCUCGUCGGCGCACGUCGGAGCACCGCGCGACGAGCCAAUCACCGGCAGGCGGUCCUCGAUCCUGGCGAAAUGGCAUGGGAAGGAGACGAAGCAACCUACGUCGAUCCAUUCCCCCUCAUGCACAUAGCGUGCAUCCACCGUGCACCCGCGAGAAUCAAGGAGGACGAGCCGCUGGAUGUCGUCACGAAGGAAGAUUUCGCCGUCGUGGAACGUGGCCGUGCGGCGCACCAGAUCCGCCGCGUACGACACUCGCCACCGCGUGUCCAUCCCUCCCCAAAAUCCGGGCACACCGAUUCUAGGGCCGUCUUAUUCCCAUUGAUCAUGUAGGAAUGGAGUGUAUGGAGGUGUGCAGAUGUGAAUACAUCCACCAUGGAUUGAAUCUGAAUUCUCAAUUUAUGCACGCAAGGGAAUGUGUUUGGUAGGAAGGUAAUUUUUUAGAUGUGUUAAUAUAUACCCAUCUCGUGAGAAAUGUAGAUGUCCGUACAAAAGUCUGCUCAGUCUUAUUAUGUGUCUGGUGGUAUGUGUACCUGGAUGAGUUAUUCCUCGUAUUAGAAAAGCACAGGAAGUCAUAAAAUAUACCGACAGAAGAAGACCGUACGUUCCUGAAACAGAAUAGUCAUUUCUCUGUUAGCCAGGUUUCGUCGGUUCCAUUAUAUGUAAGCAAGAGAUGGAUUAGGAAAUCACAUCUACGAUCUAUAUAAAUGGCCGAAACUCAAGGAAAUUAGGUAACUUGUGUGUGCAGGAAAAAAACAGCCCUCACACACGUGAGUGAUACUCAAUAAAAACCUUUUUUAAGCAAAAUUACUCACUUCAGUAAGCAUUUCUUUAAACACGAUUUAUCAUGCAUACUUUUACGAAGUUAACGGGCAACUCAUACAACUAGAGCUUUUUAUAUUAUGAGAAUUGCAUUUAUUGUGUGUGGUUGUUAAUUGAUAACAAAAUGAUAGAUCAUUUUUUUCGAACCAUGCAUGAGGACUGCAUGUAAAUAUAUAGAUAGAAAGAGGAGUACAACCGGCAAAAUCAGGCACAUGUACAAAUACAGCACAAGCCAAAACAAGCAGAGAGAAAAGGAGAGGAAACUCUAGGAACAAAAACAAACUAAUCAAACUCCGCUAUAUCAGGCACAGCCAUCCCAUUUUUGCUUGCAGUGUCCCAUAUUUUAGCCUCCGUUUUGAUCUUGUCAAGAAGCCGCUGAAUCGGAGUGUGUGGCUUAUUUAUCAAAAAUCUACUGUUCUGUUCUCUCCAAAUCGACCAAACGACCAACAUAACUACAGAGUUCACAGUUUUUUCUUUAGCACCUUCCAUCCUUAGCCUUGCUCGACUCCUCCACUCUCCAAGAUCAGAGCCAACAGUAGAUCGAUAUUAAUGAGAUAUAACAUAUAAACUUGAUUCUGAGUAUUACCUUAGCAGAUUCAUUUACUUUUUUGUGAAAACCUUUAUAUUUUAUAACAUAUACUGUUUGAUAUUAAUAAGGAGAUAUCACAUCAGUAUUAACUUUUCUUCGAAUCUUAAAAGCCUUGUCUGAUGUAUGCAAUCUUGAAAACUUAUAUAUUUUGAGGAAAAAAGUAAUAUUGUCGCACACUUGUUGGCGGAGUGUAUAGAGUUGUGCGGGUGAAAAUACAUCCACCAUGGAUUGAAUCUGAAUGCUCAAUUUAUGCACGCAUGGGAAUGUGUUUGGUAGGAAGGUAAUUUCUGAGAUGUGUUAAUAAAUACCAACUCAUGAAAAAUGUAGAUGUCCAUACAAAAGUAUGUUCAGUCUUAUUAUGCAUGUGGUGAUAUGUGUACGUGGAUGAGUUAUUCCUUGUAUUAGAAAAGCACAGGACGCGGUCAUAAAAUAUACCGACAAAUGAUCGUUCCUUCUCGUAAAAGAUCUAAUCGACUCAAGGAACAGGUAAAUAUUGUGGUCACUGGGAGAAGGGUUCCUCGUUGUUAUUGGCCGUGGAGCUCAUUGUACACUAUAUAUGGGCAUAAAUGACGAUUAUAGCUCAAUAGUUCUACAUCCCUUAUGCUAUUGAAGCAAUCGCCCUUGAUCUAUCAAAGAUAGUUUUCCAUAUGACAUAUGCAACAUGUUGUGUUGUACCACAUCUAGAAUUUCUAAGUCAAAACCAAUAACAUAUACCUAGAUAUUAUGCAUGUUCGAUCUCCGAGACAACAUAUUUUGAUGCUUUGUCGUAAUCAUUAUAUUAUGUAAUUUCCUAAAUUAAUAGUGUAAUUAAUUGCCACCCAGUAUUCCGUUAUUACAGUUAGCAAUAUUGUCAUCUCAAGUUGGUAUUGCUAGAGUAAUAUGUGUAAGUUCUAAAGUUCACUUUUUAGGAGUUAGGUUGCUAUUGAAGUGAAAUUUUCUAGGUGGUGUUAGAGAAGUAUCUUGACAACUGGUUAGGAUUAACAUGACAUUUAUUGGAUAUCUAAUGAAGGCGCAUUAUGUCAGUAAUUGCUUCUAGAGGUAGUUUGGGUUCGCAGACCAUCUAUUUUAGUAACUAUGUUCGGGGCCGCCACCACGUGGAUCCUCCCACCACGUCUCCGGGGCCACCGCCCCGAAAUCCUGCACCUUUGCCCCCAUCGAAAGGAUCAGUCCCCUCAAAGCCACGCCGCGAGCUCCAACAUCCGUCUGCACCUGAGCGUCGCCACUAGGAUCUGCAUAAGCAUGAGAAGUUGAUGUCCGCGAACUCACAUGCCUGAAGAAAUGUCAUGACAACAAACUCCGCGAGCGUGACCUUCAGGUUGGGCGGCAACUCCAAACGCCUCCCCCACGGAAUUUACAGACAUUUUAGGACUCGGGAGUGUUUUGUAGCCUGGGAAUCAAAUUGGCUUCCUCGCGCGUGUGUGUUGCUUGCUCUGUUGUGUAGUUGUGCAAGACGAAGGUCUGGUGACUAGUCUGAUUGGGUAUGUGCAUGCUAUCAUGCAUGGGGCAUGUGGAGAGUUGAUUGUUGUUCUUGGAACAUGUUUGUCAUGUGCAUGUAGUGGUCGUGUCAAUACAUUUUGCGCAGGAAAUAUUUGUUGGAUUGUAAUUCAGAACUGCUCUUGCUUGCUAAAUACAUUUCUGGAAUAUCAAUUUUGUAAGAUAAUUGACUUACUUAUUAUUAUUUUCAGGUCACCAUUGGUAUAAGGAUUUUGCAUCAGUUCCAAGAGGCAUGUUUGUCGAGCUAAAAGGAUCUAUUGCUAGAAUUUCUCUAAUAUUUUGGACAUUUUAAUAUAUAUCUGCUGAAUUAGUACCCUUGUUGGGUGGAGUACAUUCACCGAAACCCGGUGUUAUAUUUAGUGCUUUUGGCUAUGAUGUAAUUGUAGACUGCAGGAUGGAUUGUUAUGCUUUUGGUUGUGAUCUAGUAUUGAGCUUUUGAAUGUACAAAUUUACACCUAUGAUCGAUUGCUGAGAUAUAUAUUAUGUCCUAGUAGAUGCAACUUUAAUUACUCUGCAUGUGUGUUGUAGAUUAUGAACAUAAGUGACGAUCAGUACCUCUAUAGUUCUAUAUCCCUUUUCUAUUGAAACCGUCACACAUUUGUAGCACA